AAACUUCUAGUAAAAGACUGAGGAUGACCCUCUUUAAUCUAGAUUCACUAACUAUUUGAGUUCUAAAGGCGAUUUAUGGAAUUCCUUAAGUAAGGGUAAAAUUGUUGAUAUUGGAAGACCUUCGAAGGCGGAAGCGGUAAUCGAUUUAGAUCUGACGCUAGGUACUAAAGCAUGGGUAUGAAGAGGAUUAGAGACCUUGUAGUCCAUGCCUUAAACAAUGAGUGUUCAACGUCCUUUUUUGGUAGGCAGACAAAACAUAGCUUUCUCUGUAAAAAGAGAAGCAGUUACAAGUCAUACAAUGUUGCCUUUACUACAUUUAAGGGGGUUUGAAGCUAACGCGUGAAACACCGCCUGGGGAUUGUGGCCGCAAGGUUAAACUCAAAGGAAUUGACGGAGACUUUUACACGG
Molecule: ribosomal RNA, 408 nt
Filed under: Didymium melanospermum
Lineage: Eukaryota; Evosea; Eumycetozoa; Physariida; Didymiaceae
Description: partial small subunit ribosomal RNA
Rfam family: Bacterial small subunit ribosomal RNA
Source: RNAcentral